UACAGAGGGGGCAAGCGUUAUUCGGAAUUAUUGUGCGUAAAGGGCGCGUAGGCGGCUUGAUAAGUCAAAGGUGAAAUCCCUCGGCUCAACCGAGGACCUGCCUUUGAUACUGUCUCGCUUGAGGCCGGGAGAGGGUAGCGGAAUUCCCAGUGUAGCGGUGAAAUGCGUAGAUAUUGGGAGGAACACCAGUGGCGAAGGCGGCUACGUGGACCGGUUCUGACGCUGAGGCGCGAAAGCGUGGGGAGCAAACAGG
This 253-nucleotide ribosomal RNA is filed under the name uncultured bacterium. RNAcentral's name for it is "partial 16S ribosomal RNA". It matches the Rfam family "Bacterial small subunit ribosomal RNA", at positions 524 to 776 of the family's 1533-position model. The record is from RNAcentral.